Lagopus leucura (white-tailed ptarmigan) is the source of this 356-nucleotide long non-coding RNA. RefSeq lists it as uncharacterized. Lineage: Eukaryota; Metazoa; Chordata; Aves; Galliformes; Phasianidae. The record is from RefSeq and is a predicted model, not a curated record. The transcript has 4 exons.
GCUGACUGAGUUGCUCGAGAGAAGGAGUUCCUUGGUUCAGAAGCCCUUACUGUUAAUCAAGAGAGGGAGAUUAGAAGAGAUCAGAACCACCAGCCUGAAGAGCACUUUGCAUUUGACUACACCUUUCUACCAGCCUGUGUGUUUCUCUUCUGAUAUCUCUGGAGGGAGAAGUUCUCCAGGGAACUUCUUCAGCUUAUACAAAUAAACUCCGUGGUCGCUCUUCUGAAAGGCCCUUGCAUUCUUCAUGAUCAUGUUCAUUACUCUUCAACUCUUUGGAAACGCUUCUGGGAUCACAAGGCACAGUGAAUCUAUGAAAAGAAGCCUCUACGCUGUAUCAGAUUCUUAUAUUAAUUGAC